AGUGAACGCUGGCGGUAGGCCUAACACAUGCAAGUCGAACGGCAGCACAGUAAGAUCUUGCUCUUACGGGUGGCGAGUGGCGGACGGGUGAGGAAUACAUCGGAAUCUACUUUUUCGUGGGGGAUAACGUAGGGAAACUGACGCUAAUACCGCAUACGACCUACGGGUGAAAGCAGAGGAUCUUCGGACCUUGCGCGAUUGAAUGAGCCGAUGUCGGAUUAGCUAGUUGGUGUGGUAAAGGCACACCAAGGCGACGAUCCGUAGCUGGUCUGAGAGGAUGAUCAGCCACACUGGAACUGAGACACGGUCCAGACUCCUACGGGAGGCAGCAGUGGGGAAUAUUGGACAAUGGGCGCAAGCCUGAUGCAGCCAUACCGCGUGGGUGAAGAAGGCCUUCGGGUUGUAAAGCCCUUUUGUUGGGGAAGAAAAGCAGCAGGUUAAUCCCCCGAUGUUCUGACGGUACCCAAAGAAUAAGCCCCGGCUAACUUCGUG
RNAcentral lists this ribosomal RNA (492 nucleotides) under uncultured bacterium. RNAcentral describes it as "partial 16S ribosomal RNA". It matches the Rfam family "Bacterial small subunit ribosomal RNA", at positions 29 to 507 of the family's 1533-position model. The record is from RNAcentral.